GCAUUAAUGGGGUAGUGGUAACCUGGGUCGUUGCCAUGCGAUGAGAUGUGUAUUCGACCCGCCGGGGGUUCGAUUCCCCCUUAAUGCA
Non-coding RNA from Termitomyces sp. T159_Od127, 88 nucleotides. Lineage: Eukaryota; Fungi; Basidiomycota; Agaricomycetes; Agaricales; Lyophyllaceae. The record is from the annotation of a GenBank genome assembly.